RNAcentral lists this ribosomal RNA (799 nucleotides) under uncultured bacterium. RNAcentral's name for it is "bacterial SSU rRNA". It matches the Rfam family "Bacterial small subunit ribosomal RNA", at positions 8 to 796 of the family's 1533-position model. The record is from RNAcentral.
AGAGUUUGAUCAUGGCUCAGGACGAACGCUGGCGGCGUUAACACAUGCAAGUGGUGCGACGAACCAGGGCUUGCCCUGGGGCCAAGCCGCGAACGGGUGAGUAACACGUGAGNNACCUGCCCCGAUGACCGGGACAACCCGAGGAAACUCGGGCUAAUACCGGAUGAUGUUCACAAUCGUAAGUUUGUGUACUAAAGGAAGCUUCGGCCUCCGCAUUGGGAGGGGCUCGCGGCCCAUUAGCUUGUUGGUGGGGUAACGGCCUACCAAGGCAACGAUGGGUAGCUGGUCUGAGAGGACGAUCAGCCACACUGGGACUGAGACACGGCCCAGACUCCUACGGGAGGCAGCAGUGGGGAAUCUUGCGCAAUGCGCGAAAGCGUGACGCAGCAACGCCGCGUGGGGGAAGACGGCCUUCGGGUUGUAAACCCCUUUCAGGAGGGACGAAGGUUCACCGGUUAAUAGCCGUGUGGAUUGACGGUACCUCCAGAAGAAGCUCCGGCUAACUACGUGCCAGCAGCCGCGGUAAUACGUAGGGAGCAAGCGUUGUCCGGAAUCAUUGGGCGUAAAGCGCGCGUAGGCGGCCUCAUAAGUCCGUUGUGAAAGUCAAAGGCUCAACCUUUGAAAGCCGAUGGAUACUGUGAGGCUAGAGUCCGGAAGAGGCGAGUGGAAUUCCUGGUGUAGCGGUGGAAUGCGCAGAUAUCAGGAGGAACACCAAUAGCGAAGGCAGCUCGCUGGGACGGUACUGACGCUAAGGCGCGAAAGCGUGGGGAGCGAACAGGAUUAGAUACCCUAGUAGUCC